GUUCGCUUUGGCAGCACAUAUACUAAAAUUGGAACGAUACAGAGAAGAUUAGCAUGCCCGUCACUUUCUUUAGUAAACCUUCUAUUUGCUAUUCUAUUUUUUU
Small nuclear RNA from Protobothrops mucrosquamatus (brown spotted pit viper), 103 nucleotides. The record is from RefSeq and is a predicted model, not a curated record. Lineage: Eukaryota; Metazoa; Chordata; Lepidosauria; Squamata; Viperidae.